GACAGAGGGUGCAAACGUUGUUCGGAAUUACUGGGCGUAAAGAGUGUGUAGGCGGUGUUCCAAGUCUGGUGUGAAAUCUCCCGGCUUAACUGGGAGGGUGCAUUAGAAACUGGAAUGCUAGAGGAUGGGAGAGGUAAGCGGAAUUCCUGGUGUAGCGGUGAAAUGCGUAGAUAUCAGGAGGAACACCUGUGGUGUAGACAGCUUACUGGACCAUUUCUGACGCUGAGACACGAAAGCGUGGGUAGCAAACAGG
Molecule: ribosomal RNA, 253 nt
Filed under: uncultured bacterium
Lineage: Bacteria
Description: partial 16S ribosomal RNA
Rfam family: Bacterial small subunit ribosomal RNA
Source: RNAcentral